CUCUGUGCAAAAGUUUCUAUACCCCAAACCAGACCGUACAGAUACCGGGCCAUUACGCACUUUCAGAAAGUUUAGAAGAGUAGCAUUGUCACCUGGUCACCCCAGUGGGAAAAACAAAACAAAACCCAGGGCUGUGUGAGCACCAAGGAGACUCAGAGGUGAAGAGAAAAGUCAGGCCCAUAGGAGAAGUAAAGGUCUUCAAGAAAAAAUCUCUGCAUAUACAUGCAUACACACAUAAUAUGUCAAUUAAAAUCAAUGUGCAUUUUCGUUUGACAUAGAAGAAAGAGUGGAAAAGUUAUAUUUCCAAAUAUUAUAAAACUUUUAAGAUAUUAACAAAGCCAAAAUAACCAGUCCAAUAUUGAAGAACCCAGUUGGAGGAUUGGAAUUUUCCAAACUCAGAUCUAUCCUAUUACUCUACUUUAAUCAAGACAGCAGACUAUUGGCAAAAGAACAGAGACAUGGAUUGGUGGAACAGACAGUCAGCCCAGAAGGAGAUUCACUCAAGUCGAGCCAGCUGAUCCUCCAGGAGGCAGAGCAAGUCCACACAGAGAGGAAAGUCAGCCGAGGGGCUGGACAGCUGGACGGCACAUCCCAAACUUGAAUCUAGACCCUGCUCGUGAAAAGCAGCUCCAAAUGGAUCACAGGCCUAGAUGUGAAUUGCAAAACCAUAGCACUCUUGGCCCAUAACAGAAGAAAACCCAGGUGACUUUGACCUUGGACACACCACCAAAGACCUGGCCCAUGAACGAGAGAACCAGUGAGAGGCGAUUCAUCAAAAUCAGAACUUCGUCUCUGGGAAAGAAAAGUCCAGAGGGGGAGAAAAACACAAACUGUUGGAAAAUAUUCACAAAUGACGUGUCUGGUAAAGGACUGCAAUGCAAACACACAAAGAACUCUUAAAUCCAACAACAAGAAAACAAAAAACCCAACUUUAAAAAAUGGGCAAAAGAGCUCAAGAAAUACAAGAAGAUAUACAGAUGGCAAAUAAGUUUAUGAAAAGAUGCUCAGUGUCAUAUCUCAUUAGGGAAUUGAAAUUUUUUUGAAAUAAAAACGUAGACUUCGGGUGAUGACGACCUAUAUAACUCACGUUUAUCACUUGAAACAAAUGGACCUUUCUGGUGCAGGUUGGGGAUGGCGGGUUCUUAGGGUUCUCUAGAGAAACCGAACCAUUAGUAUAUGAUAGAGAUAAAUUGGUUUCAAGAAAUCGGGUCCUGUGGUUUGGGAGCCUGCAGGUCAUGAGCUGAAGGUACAUCAGCAAGCGCAGACCCAGGAAGGCUGAUGGGUAACUGGCAGCCCAAGGCCAGCAGGCCCAAGACCCAGAAGGAGCAGACAUUUUUGACCCACCGGGAAGGCAGGGGAGGCCACGUCCCUGCUCAGGGAAGUGAGCAAGGAAGCUCCUUCUGGGACACUCAGCUGGUGGCUUCUGUCCUUCCCCUGAUCCCAAGGGCCCACCUGCCCUCAGGAGGGCAGUCUGCUCUGCCCAAUCGGCUGAUUGGCACAGUCACCGCAUCCAGAAACACCGUCACAGACACACCCAGGAUAACCUCUGAUCAGAUGUGUGCGGGCCCCAUGGCCCAGCGAAGCCAGGGCACACAGCCACCCCAGCUGGGUUCCCUGUGAGGCAGACAGGGGCUGUGGGGGAACUCUGUGGACCUUCUCCCCAACUUUUCUGUGAAUGUGAGCAACUGCUCUAAAAGAAUAAAACUUGUAAAGUCUGUAUUGUUUUAAAAAGCUUAACUGCUCAAAGAAGUAACCUGUGAAAGAGGAAUGAAUCCGACAGAAGUAAAUCUCAGGUGGGUGGCGUUGAUGAGCUCCCCAGAGCAGGCGUCAACCCACUCCCAUCUCAUGGUGGUCAUCAUAAGGAAGCAAGUUCAAUUUCUCCAAGGACUGUUCAGUAUCUUCCAUGAGGAUUCCUGGGCACCGCUCAAGGCAGUGAGUGAAAUCUUUAGUCAGAGGAACCCAGACACCUUCAGUCCACAGCACAGGACAGGUGUCAAUCCAGACCUUCAGCACAGAGCACACUCGGACCCGGAGGACACCGUGAAGGACCCCAGACUCAUUGGCAGCAAUAAGAGAAGGGAGUUUUGUGACUGGAAAGUCAGGCUCAUGAACUUCGCCUUUGGAAACCACUGCUCUCAAAGCCAGCCCAGGUCCAGCCAAGGCUCUGGAAGCUCUCGAGAGGAAGCUGGAGUUCAGGGGAUGUGACAGUUUGAAUUGCAUUUCCUGUCAUAACCUUGCAGCCACGGUUUUUUUCUCCCAAGCAGGAAAUGAAUUGUUUCCUUAUUGCCAAAGACCUGAGAUAAAAGGUUAAGUGUCCCAGAGCGGAAUGUCGUCCAGCAUGCAGAAUUCCCCCGGGAAACACGGACCAAGUACUCAACCUGUGACCACAGGCACAGGGUCUUUCUAGUGAGGAAGAGAAGGGCCACCCCAGCUUUAGCCAAGAGGAAAGUGUCCCUUAGGUGAAGUGACUCUCUAAGAAGGACCCUGAACAGGAGAGUUGAUUCCAGCAACUAUCCACAUGCCUGGAGCCCCAAACGUGGGGACCUGCUCAGCAGAGUGGCAAUUUUACCUUCCUCCCAGAAGUGAAAUUGGGCUGAGUUGAACCUACGUGUACUCACAACAGCCCUGGAGGGCUGAGGCCUGAGUUCCUGUCCUGUGGGAGCCCUGGAGCACGCAGCCCACGGACCAUCUCCGAACACCCAAUGUCAGAACUGGGGGUCUCUCUUAUAUUUGACCUCACGAGCAACUGUGUGAAAACUAGGGUUAAAUAAAUGCUAUGACACUCCACUGCAAGAAAAACUCACGUGAGAUUUGGUCACAGGAACUACAUUUAAAGUAAAAAUUGCUCAUUUUACACAAGAAAAACAGAUCUAGACUUUUCCCCUCAAACCACAGUGUUAUGCUCCUGCUCUUUUCAAGGUCCUCCCUGUCAUCCUUCUGGUCUCCGCUGGCAACACUGCAUAAAAUUUCCAGAGGUUCUUCUCUUGUUCACUAGUAGAAUUGCCUGCUAUGGCCAUUUUGCAAUUUCUCUCCUAAUGUCUUAAGAAUUUAGCACAAUUUCAUAGAAGGCAUCCUACCUGGUCCUCCACGGCUGCUGAGUUCAAGGACACCCUGAGGAUGCCAACCCCCGAGGCCACUGGAGUCCAGCAAGCCAACCCUCCAUGUCCAUGGGGCUGCAUCCUGGGAUAUGCAGGGCCAUUCUUCUGUCACUUCACCAAAUUCAAAGGUCUACUCAAAUUACAGCCUUUAGUUUUGUCUUUUUCUCCUACAGCCCAUGUUUAUCUGUGCCAUAUACACUGGCUUGUUGUGAAACUAAGNACACAUGUCUAUAAUCCCAGGGACUGAAUCCCAAGAGACUGAAACAGGAGGACUACAAGUUGGAGGCCAGCCUCCUCAGAAAUUUAGUGAAAUUCUGUCUCAAAAUAAAGAUAAAAAACAGAGCUGGGAUGUAGCUCAGAGGUACAGAUCCCUGGGUUAAAUCCUGAAUACCACAAAAACAUAUAUAUAUUGUCAAAAGUUCAUUGGGCAUUUGUUUUAUUUAAAAUCACUGUCAGAUUUUUUUCUAUUUCUUACUGACAGGUAGAUAUUGAAAUAUACUUGCAUUUAAUCCUUUGUUAUAUAUUAGCUUGCCACUUAUAUUUUAAUUUGGUUUAGAUUAUCUUUUGAAAUAAGCUACAAACUUAUCAACUCAAAAAAAAAAAAAAAGCCAGACACUUCUUAUAAAUUUCCAAGAAUAUAGACUUGUAUCUAACAAAAAGACUAGUUCAUAAUACUCAGUCACUUUUAGUGACAAAACUGGUAAUUGCACACAGGCUUACCUACUUCACUCGGAUGAGCAAAAGUUGCAAAUAUUAACUUGAAGCUAAUGAAUGGUGAGCAUUAUAGUUACAUUUCACAAAUUUAUAUCAGUGUAUUUCCUCCAUUCAUCCGGGUGGAUCUAUAGUGACACACUCAACGUGAGCGUGCCCCUGUGUUCCUGCAAGAGGAGUUGGAGCCACACUGGAGCUGUGCAUGGGAACUGGCAGCUCUCCUUCUGGGCGAAGGCAGAGAUGCGGUGAUAGCAAUGUUGUAAUAGCGUUCUGUGACAGGGUUCACUUGGGACACAGUGUUCUGUUCUUGUCAGUUCCUGUUAAUCUAAAUGUGACUUUUGCAAUGAGGAAGAGAGGCAGCAAUCUAAGAAAGCAACUUGUGAGAAAAAAAAAAAACACAAAGAAGUAAACAUGUGUGGCUUGUGAAUGUUGAAGACUCUCACUUCUAAGGAAGUGCUCACCCAAUGUUGGAGGGGACCCUGUGACUCCACGUGUGUGUGUGUGUGUGUGUGUGUGUAAGCACACACAAGUGUAAGCAAGUAUGCGUUCCCACAUUCAUAGAAGAUGAACCAGAAAGUGCCCGUGGAUUCCACGGGAACUGGCCUGAACUUGGACGCACUGGAAUUACAUCAAAGGCACCCCAGAGGUUUUGGAGAGGAAUCGAGCCAAAGCCUCUGCGUCCAGUUAGGGCGGAAUCAACUCUGGGACUGGGUCUGGCGGGCGAUCCUGCAAGCCAGAAACUUGAUGGACGGUGCUGCUGAGCUAAGCCAGGCUGCAGUUGCGACAUAAACGACACGUUCUUUUCCAGUUUCGGGGGAGAGCCAAGCUCAAGCCCAGGAUGUCUUCAUUUCCCUUCAUUCCUCCCUUCCUCUUGAAUUUAGAAAUAACAGUGCAGUCGACAGACAAGCAAGAGAUUUCUCAAUGCCUUCUCCCAGGGCACCCACAUACCGCGGGCAGAAGGGUGGGAGCCAGUCCCAGAGUGGCCGCACAGGAGCCUCCCGGGAAGCCUCUCCCGCCACUCUCAGGAGUCCUUCCUGGCCGCUGUGGUGGCGCCUGCAGGCAGGUCUCUCUGGAGGGUCGGGGCAUGACUAGGAGUGGCCUGGUGUCCCCUGCCAGCGUGGAUGCCCCCCCAGCUCCUGGAGGGGCUGAGUCAGCGCCCCGCGGCAAGAAGUGCGGUGCCGUGGGCUCCUGGAGGUGCUCUGCCGUUUGGUGCCGGGUUUGAAUCUUGGCUCCCCACCCAAAGAGCCAGAGGGACUCUGACCUCUUGGCACUUGCUGGGGUGAAUCCAGCCACUUUGGGAAGGAAAAGUCAAGAGACUGAAGG
Molecule: long non-coding RNA, 5132 nt
Filed under: Marmota monax (woodchuck)
Lineage: Eukaryota; Metazoa; Chordata; Mammalia; Rodentia; Sciuridae
Source: RNAcentral